CUGAGAUCCCCAGAGCCUGGAGUCCUCUGGUUAUUUCCAGGACAGGGUCAGCACUGGGCAGAUUUCCCCUAUCUUCUGCCCAUCAGUAAUAUGCCUUUAUUCUUAACUAUUAGACACCCACUUUCAGGGCUGAGGGCAUAGUUCAGUCUCCAGGGCCCAUUCAGUCCUUGGCUUCU
RNAcentral lists this small RNA (176 nucleotides) under Chelonoidis abingdonii (Abingdon island giant tortoise). RNAcentral's name for it is "TUC338 (ENSCABG00000022837.1)". The record is from RNAcentral. Lineage: Eukaryota; Metazoa; Chordata; Testudines; Testudinidae.